This 264-nucleotide long non-coding RNA is filed under the name Ananas comosus (pineapple). Its description in RNAcentral is "long non-coding RNA (ACOM_LNC015144)". The record is from RNAcentral. Lineage: Eukaryota; Viridiplantae; Streptophyta; Magnoliopsida; Poales; Bromeliaceae.
CUCUUGAGAGUCCGAGAAUUAUGGAUGUUGUUCUGAUAGAACGAACAGUGAGAGUAGGAUCACUGUUGAGAGAGCGAUUGGUUAGUGGCCAAGUACAGGCACGUGGGCCUAGUGGUACCUCGAAUUGAAGUGGGUGAAUCGUGCCUGUGUGGUCGGUGUGCAUAGGCGUUGGAACGUGGUAGCGGCGUAUAGAGCGCUCGAGUAUAGAUACUCGUGGUGUGCGGUGUUGUUUCAGCCGGGAGAGUGUGUAGGCAGUAACACUGU